AUAUGUAGUUUUGAGUUUCUUGCUCAGGAUGAACCGCGGCCGGCGUGCCUAAUACAUGCAAGUCGAGCGAACAGAUAAGGAGCUUGCUCCUUUGACGUUAGCGGCGGACGGGUGAGUAACACGUGGGUAACCUACCUAUAAGACUGGGAUAACUUCGGGAAACCGGAGCUAAUACCGGAUAACAUUUGGAACCGCAUGGUUCUAAAGUGAAAGAUGGUUUUGCUAUCACUUAUAGAUGGACCCGCGCCGUAUUAGCUAGUUGGUAAGGUAACGGCUUACCAAGGCGACGAUACGUAGCCGACCUGAGAGGGUGAUCGGCCACACUGGAACUGAGACACGGUCCAGACUCCUACGGGAGGCAGCAGUAGGGAAUCUUCCGCAAUGGGCGAAAGCCUGACGGAGCAACGCCGCGUGAGUGAUGAAGGGUUUCGGCUCGUAAAACUCUGUUAUUAGGGAAGAACAAACGUGUAAGUAACUGUGCAUGUCUUGACGGUACCUAAUCAGAAAGCCACGGCUAACUACGUGCCAGCAGCCGCGGUAAUACGUAGGUGGCAAGCGUUAUCCGGAAUUAUUGGGCGUAAAGCGCGCGUAGGCGGUUUCUUAAGUCUGAUGUGAAAGCCCACGGCUCAACCGUGGAGGGUCAUUGGAAACUGGGAAACUUGAGUGCAGAAGAGGAAAGUGGAAUUCCAUGUGUAGCGGUGAAAUGCGCAGAGAUAUGGAGGAACACCAGUGGCGAAGGCGACUUUCUGGUCUGUAACUGACGCUGAUGUGCGAAAGCGUGGGGAUCAAACAGGAUUAGAUACCCUGGUUAGUCCACGCCGUAAACGAUGAGUGCUAAGUGUUAGGGGGUUCCGCCCCUUAGUGCUGCAGCUAACGCAUUAAGCA
RNAcentral lists this ribosomal RNA (885 nucleotides) under Staphylococcus sp. Its description in RNAcentral is "bacterial SSU rRNA". It matches the Rfam family "Bacterial small subunit ribosomal RNA", at positions 1 to 866 of the family's 1533-position model. Lineage: Bacteria; Bacillati; Bacillota; Bacilli; Caryophanales; Staphylococcaceae. The record is from RNAcentral.